GAUGAAGAACGUAGCGAAAUGCGAUAAGUAGUGUGAAUUGCAGAAUUCAGUGAAUCAUCGAAUCUUUGAACGCACAUUGCGCCCCAUGGUAUUCCGUGGGGCAUGCCUGUUCGAGCGUCAUUUACCCCCUCAAGCUCCGCUUGGUGUUGGGCGUCUGUCCCGCUUCGCGCGCGGACUCGCCCCAAAGGUAUUGGCUGCGGUCGUGCCAGCUUCUCGCGCAGCACAUUGCGCUUCUCGAGGCACCGGUGGGCCCGCGUCCAUCAAGCUCACCCCCCCAGUUUGACCUCGGAUCAGGUAGGGAUACCCGCUGAACUUAAGCAUAUCAAUAAGCGGAGGA
This 337-nucleotide unclassified non-coding RNA is filed under the name soil metagenome. RNAcentral describes it as "partial contains 5.8S ribosomal RNA, internal transcribed spacer 2, and large subunit ribosomal RNA". The stretch from base 1 to 120 matches the Rfam family "5.8S ribosomal RNA", at positions 35 to 154 of the family's 154-position model. The record is from RNAcentral.